UACGUAGGGGGCAAGCGUUGUCCGGAUUUAUUGGGCGUAAAGCGCGUGUAGGCGGCUUGGUAGGUCAGCUGUGAAAACUCGAGGCUCAACCUCGAGCUGUCGGUUGAAACCACCUUGCUAGGGUCCGGAAGAGGAGAGUGGAAUUCCUGGUGUAGCGGUGAAAUGCGCAGAUAUCAGGAAGAACACCAAUGGCGAAGGCAGCUCUCUGGGACGGUACUGACGCUGAGACGCGAAAGCGUGGGGAGCGAACAGG
RNAcentral lists this ribosomal RNA (253 nucleotides) under uncultured bacterium. Its description in RNAcentral is "partial 16S ribosomal RNA". It matches the Rfam family "Bacterial small subunit ribosomal RNA", at positions 524 to 776 of the family's 1533-position model. The record is from RNAcentral.